CGGACCGGGGAGAGGAAAGUCCGGGCUUCACAGGGCAGGAUGCCGGAUAACGUCCGGCGGAGGCGACUCCAGAGAUAGUGCAACAGAAAUAAACCGCCCGGGGACCGUCUGGACAGCUGAUGCUGUCCCGUCGGUCCCCGGGCAAGGGUGGAAAGGCGGGGUAAGAGCCCGCCGAUCCCCUGGUAACAGGGGAUGCCAUGUAAACCUCAUCCGAAGCAAGGCCGAAUAGAAAACCAUGAUCCGGCCCGGAUCGUUUUCAGGUUGGCCGCUUAAGCCUUCCGGCAACGGCAGGCUCAGACAGAUGAUCAUUCGAGACAUAACCCGGCUUAUCGUCCGGCUC
Molecule: RNase P RNA, 340 nt
Filed under: uncultured Anaerobutyricum sp.
Lineage: Bacteria; Bacillati; Bacillota; Clostridia; Lachnospirales; Lachnospiraceae
Description: Bacterial RNase P class A
Rfam family: Bacterial RNase P class A
About the family: Ribonuclease P (RNase P) is a ubiquitous endoribonuclease, found in archaea, bacteria and eukarya as well as chloroplasts and mitochondria. Its best characterised activity is the generation of mature 5'-ends of tRNAs by cleaving the 5'-leader elements of precursor-tRNAs.
Source: RNAcentral